RNAcentral lists this ribosomal RNA (496 nucleotides) under uncultured bacterium. Its description in RNAcentral is "partial 16S ribosomal RNA". It matches the Rfam family "Bacterial small subunit ribosomal RNA", at positions 29 to 507 of the family's 1533-position model. The record is from RNAcentral.
AUGAACGCUGGCGGCGUGCCUAAUACCUGCAAGUCGAGCGAACAGACGAGGAGCUUGCUCCUCUGACGUUAGCGGCGGACGGGUGAGUAACACGUGGAUAACCUACCUAUAAGACUGGGAUAACUUCGGGAAACCGGAGCUAAUACCGGAUAACAUGUUGAACCGCAUGGUUCAACAGUGAAAGACGGUCUUGCUGUCACUUAUAGAUGGAUCCGCGCCGCAUUAGCUAGUUGGUAAGGUAACGGCUUACCAAGGCAACGAUGCGUAGCCGACCUGAGAGGGUGAUCGGCCACACUGGAACUGAGACACGGUCCAGACUCCUACGGGAGGCAGCAGUAGGGAAUCUUCCGCAAUGGGCGAAAUCCUGACGGAGCAACGCCGCGUGAGUGAAGAAGGUCUUCGGAUCGUAAAACUCUGUUAUUAGGGAAGAACAAAUGUGUAAGUAACUAUGCACGUCUUGACGGUACCUAAUCAGAAAGCCACGGCUAACUACGUG